AGCUUGUAGCAGGGUGAAGUGUUGAUGGUUUGAUAGGUACGUUAUUGAUUUGUAACUUGUAACAGGCUUGUAGCAGGGUGAAGUGUUGAUGGUUUGACAGGUACGUUAUUGAUUUGUAACUUGUAACAGGCUUGUAGCAGGGUGAAGUGUUGAUGGUUUGAUAGGUACGUUAUUGAUUUGGAGCUUGUAGCAGGGUGAAGUGUUGAUGGUUUGAUAGGUACGUUAUUGAUUUGUAACUUGUAACAGGCUUGCAGCAGGGUGAAGUGUUGAUGGUUUGACAGGUAUGUUAUUGAUUUGUAACUUGUAACAGGCUUGUAGCAGGGUGAAGUGUUGAUGGUUUGAUAGGUACGUUAUUGAUUUGUAACUUGUAACAGGCUUGUAGCAGGGUGAAGUGUUGAUGGUUUGACAGGUACGUUAUUGAUUUGUAACUUGUAACAGGCUUGUAGGAGGGUGAAGUGUUGAUGGUUUGACAGGUACGUUAUUGAUUUGUAACUUGUAACAGGCUUGUAGCAGGGUGAAGUGUUGAUGGUUUGACAGGUACGUUAUUGAUUUGUAACUUGUAACAGGCUUGUAGCAGGGUGAAGUGUUGAUGGUUUGAUAGGUAUGUUAUUGAUUUGUAACUUGUAACAGGCUUGUAGCAGGGUGAAGUGUUGAUGGCUUGACAGGUACGUUAUUGAUUUGUAACUUGUAACAGGCUUGCAGCAGGGUGAAGUGUUGAUGGUUUGAUAGGUACGUUAUUGAUUUGUAACUUGUAACAGGCUUGCAGCAGGGUGAAGUGUUGAUGGUUUGAUAGGUACGUUAUUGAUUUGUAACUUGUAACAGGCUUGUAGCAGGGUGAAGUGUUGAUGGACUGACAGG
This is a long non-coding RNA of Anguilla anguilla (European eel), 858 nucleotides long. RefSeq lists it as uncharacterized. The record is from RefSeq and is a predicted model, not a curated record. The transcript is spliced from 4 exons. NCBI's taxonomy places the organism in Eukaryota, Metazoa, Chordata, Actinopteri, Anguilliformes, Anguillidae.